This 392-nucleotide unclassified non-coding RNA is filed under the name soil metagenome. RNAcentral describes it as "partial contains 5.8S ribosomal RNA, internal transcribed spacer 2, and large subunit ribosomal RNA". The stretch from base 1 to 122 matches the Rfam family "5.8S ribosomal RNA", at positions 35 to 154 of the family's 154-position model. The record is from RNAcentral.
GAUGAAGAACGUAGCGAAAUGCGAUACUUGGUGUGAAUUGCAGAAUCCCGUGAACCAUCGAGUCUUUGAACGCAAGUUGCGCCCGAAGCCAUUAGGCCGAGGGCACGCCUACCUGGGCGUCACACGUCGUUGCCCCCCCCAUCUACUCCUUCGGGAUUGCGGGGGGCGGAUGAUGGCCUCCCGUGCGCCUCGCCGCGCGGUUGGCAUAAAUGCCAAGUCCUCGGCGACGCACGCCACGACAAUCGGUGGUUGCGAAACCUCGGUUGCCCGUCGUGUGCGGUCGUCGCGCAUCGAGGGCUCGAAAAAAUUGCCGAGUUCCGGCUCGGCUUUCAACGCGACCCCAGGUCAGGCGGGGUUACCCGCUGAAUUUAAGCAUAUCAAUAAGCGGAGGA